AUGGCAGUCUUGGCACCUUGGGGGCACUCUGGUAGCAUUCUAUGUGCCCUCUGUGCACCAGGCUGUGGCUGUGCCUUCCACAAGCUGCAAGAGGCUGGGCACUGUGCCCGGCUGCGUGAGGCACUGCUGGCACAGUCCCAUCCUGCCCCCUCACCUGGCUCUGGGACCAUGCAGACGUGGCCGCAUCGGCUGCUGCUGCAGCACUUCUCAUCCCCCGGGCACUGCUCAUCUCCUGCACAAGGGUCCUGGCACUGGGACCCCUCAGCCUGCUCGCUCAGGGGGCAGAUCCCCGGUUUCUCUGGAAGGCAGGAAAUGGGAUGCUGGGGGUGGCUGGGCAUGACCAGAGAUGCUCUGGGGGGGUGCUCAGUGGCUCCAACCUUGGGCUGGGCGCAGGCACACGUAGUCACAGCCCUGCAGGCAGCACUUCUCCUCGCCGGGGCAGUCGGCAUCACGCCGGCACCACUCUCUGCAGUCGUAGCUGGGGAACAACCCAGCGCUGGCCGGGCAGAAUCCAUCCUUCCCUGCAGGUCAUGGUGUGGGGUGGAGUGGGUCCCGCUCUGCAGUGCAGUGGUCCCAUGGGGACACAGUCCAGCACACAUGGGCAGGGUGCAUUGCCUGAUCCAUCACUGCAUCCCUCCAUGUUGGGGCCCCCCCGUCCUGCAAGGCGACCCCCCCCAUCCCCUUGCUCCCAACUGCACCCUGCGCCCAGGUUGGCAGCUCUGCUGUUGGUGUGGCUCCAGGUGGCAGGGACAGGGCUGGCAGUAUCCGAACUGCAGAGCAGAGCUUGGAUGGUGGGGUCAUCGGGUUGGAGGUGAGAGUGGGAUGACCACUGUAGUGGUCUUCGGUGUCCCCACCACAUCCUUGCUGCUGUACACACUGCUCCCAACCCGGCCCCUCUCUGCUUGUGGUGGGUACUGUGGGCACCCCUGGUCCCCAGUCCAUGGCCAAACCUGUGAUCCACGUCCCACCCCGUCCCACCCUGUCCCACCCCGUCUCACGGGCUGGCGCUGCAGGCAGACACUGGAGGCCACAGCUGCUGUUGCAGCACUUCAGCGCAUUGGGGCAGUCGCUGUCACCAUCGCACUCCUCCCGGCACGGCCCCUCCAGCUCUGGCAGCACCACGGGACACUCCCCGGUUUUGGGUUUCUCUGGUGGAGCAGAGCGAUCAGAAGCAGCCGUGAGCAGCGCUGGACACGGGGGGACAUCGCAUCGCCCCCCACCACCGGGAGCUCCGUGCUCUCACCGUGGCCCAGGCACGCCCGGCGGCACGCUGCCCGCGUCCCGAAGCGGUUGGCAUUGCCCCCACAGCCGCUGUAG
This 1317-nucleotide long non-coding RNA is filed under the name Chrysolophus pictus (golden pheasant). RNAcentral describes it as "lncRNA (ENSCPIG00010001125.1)". Lineage: Eukaryota; Metazoa; Chordata; Aves; Galliformes; Phasianidae. The record is from RNAcentral.